This 565-nucleotide ribosomal RNA is filed under the name uncultured bacterium. RNAcentral's name for it is "partial 16S ribosomal RNA". It matches the Rfam family "Bacterial small subunit ribosomal RNA", at positions 355 to 914 of the family's 1533-position model. The record is from RNAcentral.
UGGGGAAUUUUGGACAAUGGGCGAAAGCCUGAUCCAGCAAUGCCGCGUGUGUGAAGAAGGCCUUCGGGUUGUAAAGCACUUUUGUCCGGAAAGAAAUCCUUGGCUCUAAUACAGUCGGGGGAUGACGGUACCGGAAGAAUAAGCACCGGCUAACUACGUGCCAGCAGCCGCGGUAAUACGUAGGGUGCAAGCGUUAAUCGGAAUUACUGGGCGUAAAGCGUGCGCAGGCGGUUUGCUAAGACCGAUGUGAAAUCCCCGGGCUUAACCUGGGAACUGCAUUGGUGACUGGCAGGCUAGAGUAUGGCAGAGGGGGGUAGAAUUCCACGUGUAGCAGUGAAAUGCGUAGAGAUGUGGAGGAAUACCGAUGGCGAAGGCAGCCCCCUGGGCCAAUACUGACGCUCAUGCACGAAAGCGUGGGGAGCAAACAGGAUUAGAUACCCUGGUAGUCCACGCCCUAAACGAUGUCAACUAGUUGUUGGGGAUUCAUUUCCUAGUAACGUAGCUAACGCGUGAAGUUGACCGCCUGGGGAGUACGGUCGCAAGAUUAAAACUCAAAGGAAUUGAC